AUCUUAUCAAGAGCAGGUGGAGGGACUAGCCCGAUGAAACCCGGCAACCGGCGUGUGAACGCACGGUGCUAAUUCUUGCAGGAGACGGCUUCUUUUAUGUAUGACUUAAAGAAGCUACCUGACAGAUGAGAG
Molecule: non-coding RNA, 132 nt
Filed under: Paenibacillus pini
Lineage: Bacteria; Bacillati; Bacillota; Bacilli; Caryophanales; Paenibacillaceae
Also listed under: 1 other name
Description: SAM-I sequence
Rfam family: SAM riboswitch aptamer (S box leader)
About the family: The SAM riboswitch is found upstream of a number of genes which code for proteins involved in methionine or cysteine biosynthesis in Gram-positive bacteria. The SAM riboswitch acts at the level of transcription termination control.
Source: RNAcentral